Molecule: long non-coding RNA, 1055 nt
Organism: Pseudopipra pipra
Lineage: Eukaryota; Metazoa; Chordata; Aves; Passeriformes; Pipridae
Exons: 4
Source: RefSeq, a predicted model, not a curated record
UGGGAAAGCUCUCUGCUUACCAGUUCCACAGUCUCGUUAGUAAAAACACAUCUGACACCAGUGAUUGUGGCCUGAAAGAUACAGUGAGAAUGGGUGGUGCUUUGAGUUAUUGAUAUGAAUAAACUGUCUUUCUAGUAUUUGGAAUGUAGAGUGGAAUAAGCAGUUUUAUGGACGUUAAUGUACUUCAUGUUUGAGAAGCUGUGAAUGAAAACUCAAGAAUUGUUGCCUGUAUGUUUAAAAAAAAACCAAAACAGUUACUUCUUUAGUCUGCUUUUUUUUUUUUCCCUCCAAGGACACUGUGAGGCUCUUCACAUAAAGCUUAUCCUGAAAGUUUCUCCUUCAUGCUCAAUUUGUUAUGCUUAAACUGGACACUGUGAUAUUUUCAGUGUUUAAAAUGAGACUUACCGGCUGCUGGUUACAGAAAAUGCUGUUGCUCCCAUUUGACAGUGGUUUGAUAGCAAACGAAAUUCACAGGAAUGUGGGAGACAAACACAUCCUUCCCACCAGAGACAUCAAACUGUUUCUAGCAGUGCUGAACUACAGUCAUGCAAUGGAAGAGUCGAGGAUCUCCCAAUAGCUGUUUCUGACAAAAGAGACUAACAUCCCACAGUCAGGACUGCCAACAUUACCAUGGAAACCCCCAAAAAUAAAGACUUUCCCAGCCUUGUGAGAGUACACCUGCAAGAGCAAGAACUGCCUGUCAAAAGCGACCUCUUCACUAUGGGUGUCACCUAAGGACUUUUUGUGUGGACUGGAGCUUCCUGUUGUACACAUGAAAAAGUUUCCGAAAGAGGUCUGGUGUUUGUAAGAAGAAAUCUUCCCAGAAGUACACAGGUACGAUCAACAGGACACUGGUCAUUCCCAUGUGUCCAGCUCACUCCAGCUAUUAACAAAAUCUCUGUCCUACAACAGCAUUGAAGUAACUUUUGCUGAAUUUACCAGCUAGCACUAGCAAAGUUCUGGAUAUCUGCAGUCAAUAAGGUUUUGCUGUCACCAGAGAUGUUUUCCCAACAAAUGCUGAUUCAAAUGUUGUACAUUCCCACUGCUUCAGUUUU